Long non-coding RNA from Conger conger (European conger), 1736 nucleotides. RefSeq lists it as uncharacterized. The transcript has 6 exons. NCBI's taxonomy places the organism in Eukaryota, Metazoa, Chordata, Actinopteri, Anguilliformes, Congridae. The record is from RefSeq and is a predicted model, not a curated record.
CAGAAAGGAAGAAAGAAAAGUCAUAGCUAUGAGGAAAAUUAAAGUAGUUCAGAAGAAAUGAUGCCAAAAAUCUGACAAAAGCUCCUGCAGGCCUUGUUGCAUAGUAUAACACAUAACAGCUACAGCCAUUGCAAUAUGCAUAUAGUACUGAGAGCUCUCUCUCUCUCUUUCUCUCUCUCACUCACAAAUAUUCAUUUAAUGUAUGACUGGGAAGGGUUAAACUUAAAAUGUCAUCACUUCUAUUGAAGUAAGAGGACAAAGUCUGAAUUCUUAUUGAUUUUGUCAAAAUAUAAAGAGCUAGCCCUCCAGGAUCAUUUCAGAACCAAGGGCAAAAAAAACAUUUUCAUUUUCAAAUCCAAUCUAUCCAGCGGUGGAUCACAUGCAAGUUUACGUGGCAUUGUUGGGGGCAGUGCUCCAACUGGACUUAGCAUUAAGCCUUAAAGAUGGCUGUCUAACACGGAGGGGUCAAAAAAGUUUCCCUAGCCCAGAGACAACAAUGAAAGAAUGUCUUUUGUACUCUUCUGCAUCCUGCUGCACUGCUAACUUCACUGAAGAGCUUGUCUCCCCUGUGACAAAAGUGGAAAACACCAAAUGGGAUAUCUGUCAGCCACUUAGUGACAGGUGUGAGACAUAUAUGAAAAGAGUCGAGUGCUUCUAUCAGUGCUCGCCACAAGCAGUUCACUGGACGAACCCCAACUACACUGCUGGCGUCUUGCAUGUCCCAGUCUGUGUCAGCUUCUGUGACAGUUGGUUUGAUGCAUGCAAGGAUGACCUGACCUGUGCUAAAAACUGGCUCACUGACUUCAAAUGGGAGAAUGACAACAACCAGUGUCAACAUGAUUGUCUUCCUUUUAGCACAAUGUACACCAAUGGGUCAGACCUGUGCCGGUCCAUGUGGGGUUCAUCCUUUAUGGCGAGCUCUUCAGAGGACCGCUGUUUACAGAUGGAUGACCAGGAUGACAAGGUCCUGUCCCGCAUCCUCUGCCCAAGCUCCAGGUCCAAGAGUACUGCACCCAGCCAGGAGCCCUGCCAUCAGUCAGCCCUGAUUUUGGAUGAGAUUUUCCCUGACCAGGAGUUCUGGGAUAGACUGUAUAGCUCCAGAAUCUUUGAUUUUGUUCGCAAGGUAGCAUCAUCGAUGAACUAUUUAGCGGACUUAGCUGUCUAUUUAUCACAUAACAUACGGGGCUAGCAUAGUGCUUAAGGUGCAUGACAUGCAAGGUUGAUGGUUCGAUCCCCGGUGUAGCCACAAUAAGAUCCGCACAGCCGUUGGGCCCUUGAGCAAGGCCCUUAACAAUGUAUUGCUCCAGGGGAGGAUUGUCUCCUGCUUAGUCUAAUCAACUGUACGUCGCUCUGGAUAUGAGCGUCUGCCAAAUGCCAAUAAUGUAAUGUAAUGUAAUGUAAUGUAACUAAGUAUCACAUGGUCUAGCACAUUAAACUAGGAAAGGGAUGAGUGAGUAGCUGCUUACCUCAGACACAAACAAACAACCACAUCGAAAAUCACUGUGUCAUCUCCAUAGCUGUCAUUACAGCCCUGAUGAUUUCCCCUUCAUAUGUCCCAGCUGGUAAUAUCUAGCUAACACAUGUCAAUACACAUAACAUUUAAUAAAGAUUUACAGAAACCUCAUCAUUAUUCGCAUUAUCAUCGUCAUCAACUUCUGUUUCUGGUUAUUUAUAUUUAUUUGGCUGUACUCAGAGAACGUGUCGUAUGUCAAAUAAAAUGAUUUUGUCUUUGAUUA